Molecule: non-coding RNA, 108 nt
Organism: Gossypium raimondii (Peruvian cotton)
Lineage: Eukaryota; Viridiplantae; Streptophyta; Magnoliopsida; Malvales; Malvaceae
Source: Rfam
AAACCAUUGCAUCAGGCAUUUUCUAAUUAGUUCCUUGAAACGCUCCCAUGCUUCAUAUAAUGUCUCACCUUCAGAUUGCGUAAAUGAUGUAAUGUUGUUCCUAAGCUU